UGUUAUAAGGGUUAUUUAAUACGAGCGGCUGAGAUGAGAUAUCUUUUGGGGUUGAUGGUUUCGCCGCCAUUGGAUUGGGAAGGCCCUCCAACAUUUGCAAUAGACACCUCAUUUAUUUUUGUGGUUGAGAUGAAAUAUUUCAUGAGCUGAUCAUUGAGCACCAUUGGAUUACAAUAGCCCCCCACAGUUUUUGCCAUAUUUUCUCUAAAGCCCUCUUCUGGGGGUUUCUGAUCAAAUCUUCACAAGCUACUUUAAUGGAGGAUUUGGGAUUAAACUUUACAGGGAAGGCAACAAACGGAAAGAGCACCUUUUCAGCCAAAAGCUUGGGGGAUAGAGGAGUAAGAGGAGAGGGCUAGUUUUUGAUUAGGAUAAACAUUCUCUAAUGUAAGUCACAUUCCUCACAAUUAUUUUCUAUUCUUUUUUUUAAAUUAUUGUAUUUUAGUUCUUUUUUUUUAUUUUUUUUGUCAUGUAAAUUUGUACUCCUUGAUCCGCUGUUGUUACUAAUCUAUCAUCAAUAAUGAGAGUUGAAGAAUUUCCCUUUAUUUUCCCUUUUCUGUAUUCCAAGUUAAUUAUUUGUUAAUAUGUUGUGAGUAAGAUAUUAAGCAUCAACAAACAGCUAUAUGGCAACUCUUUGAAUGAUUUGGAAGUGAAUUGCAAAAUCUGAUUGGAAGAAAUAAUUUUUAAAAAAAUGUGGGAUACUCUUGAAUCUAGUUGCUAUAAUUGUGAACAAAUCAUCAACGGAUUAAGGCAAUUUUUUUUUUUUUGAAAAGAAAAAGUUAAGGUAAAUUAAUGAAGAUCCAGUCACAGAAGCCCAUGACCAAGCACUUGAUCUGGAACCUAAAUAUACUUCCGCUUAGAAAGUGAAAGCCCAUUGCCCUUUAUCCAUUAAAAGUUUCAUUUCACCAAAUAAUACAUGCCACAGGACUUUUUAGUCAAGAAAUCUCUAUAUACCAAAAUGUUCCUUUUCAAAUUGGUUGAAGAAGGAAAAAAAACAUUGCAUGUAGUUUCCAAAAGGCAAUAUAGAGUAAGUCUAAGAAGUACUUAUUACUAUUGUAAGCCUAAUAUUUGCUUCAAACCAACUCAAAAAACAUAUUGAGAUAACCAAUGCAAUAUGGUGUCACUAGCGGAAGAACAAUAAUCAGUAAACAGCUGAUUUCUCAUGUGUUUAGUUAUUUCCAUGGACAUCUUACUGUUAUGGUUUAGAAUGUCUUCAAAAUCAAGUGGAAAAAUGACUAAAAGUGAUUUUUUUCCAUCUAUGAUCAAUAUCCUUUUUGUUUUAAAUGAUCCCUUAGAUCCUUGAUUUUGUCACAGCUAAUGUUGCAUUCAUUUUAGCUUGUGGUACCAGGGGCUGAAUUCAGUGAAACAGACAGAUUCUGGAGUCAUAAAAAGGAAAAUCAUUCAAAAAUUUUGUGAUUUUCUUUGUGUUUUGAAAAGGAGAAGUAAUUGGCAAUUAGGCUAUAUCCUUGAGGUAGGAGAAGUGACAAAUUCUGUAAAUGGGCCAGUUUUAGAAAGCCUCUAAAAAAUUUGGGGUUCGGCCCUGUCCCUAGACUGGUAAAGGAUUGUUUUUCCGGGAUUGGGGAUUGACAUACAUUUUAUCAUUUCUCCUCUUAUUAUGGUCAAAGUAUUUCUUUAAUUGAUUUCUCUCUUUUUUUCUUGACUCACGAUAUCUUUCUACUGUGUCAUUUCUACCUAAUUUGGACUGAUUGAGCAUAAAGAAGCUAAAAUGAGAUGAUUUUCCUCUUUUUUGGCUCCUCAAAGAAACUCAAGUGAUGGCCAGGGAUAAACAAAAAGAAAAAAAACACAACUAUGGUUUUUUUUUAAUUUUUUAUUAUCAUUAUUAAAAGGGAAACCUCAGCUGUGAUAGUUGUAUAUUUGGAGCUGAUUCAGGUUUGUUCUUGUACCACCUUAAUUUGUUUUAAUGCUUAUUUUCCCCUUUGAGGCGUUUACUUGUACUUCAACUCUUCGUGUACAUGUAUGCACACAUGCAUGCAACAAAGACAUGACUAUGAAAAGAACUAAGGGGGGCUGGAAUAAAAUCGAUAGCUCAUUCUCAAUUCUUAUUACUAUAGUAAAAUACGAGUGAAAUCAAUAUUAUACGGCUCACACCCUACAAUAAAGAAUAAUGUCGAUACUCUAUUACUGGUAAUUCAAGAAAACACCUAGUUCUAGCUAGUUGGAAGUUGGCAUGGUGCAUGCAGAAUUAGCCUUCAUGGAUUCUUCUUCAGAGCGUCUAUGUACCUUACUUGCAUGAUGUCAUUAUUAGAAAUGAAGUCAAGAAAACCACUGAAGCUGCCUUCUGUGUAGGACAAAGGAUGUUGAUCAUCCACAAGCUCCGAGGCAGGUCCUACCUUCCUCUCUAAGGCUAAACUAUGAAGGCUCGCAAUGGAAAUACGAUCAGUGUCCGAGUUAACCGUAGCGCGGUGGACAAGGCUCUUACAUAGACCAUUGCUGAUUAUUUCC
RNAcentral lists this long non-coding RNA (2460 nucleotides) under Coffea arabica (coffee). RNAcentral describes it as "long non-coding RNA (CARA_LNC001076)". The record is from RNAcentral. Lineage: Eukaryota; Viridiplantae; Streptophyta; Magnoliopsida; Gentianales; Rubiaceae.